RNAcentral lists this transfer RNA (65 nucleotides) under Kingdonella bicollina. RNAcentral's name for it is "tRNA-Pro". The record is from RNAcentral. Lineage: Eukaryota; Metazoa; Arthropoda; Insecta; Orthoptera; Acrididae.
CAAGAGUUAGUUUUAUUAAAAUAUUGGUUUUGGAGACCAAAGAUAAAAGUGUUUUUUACUCUUGA